This 467-nucleotide ribosomal RNA is filed under the name uncultured Sphingobacteriales bacterium. RNAcentral's name for it is "bacterial SSU rRNA". It matches the Rfam family "Bacterial small subunit ribosomal RNA", at positions 916 to 1381 of the family's 1533-position model. Lineage: Bacteria; Pseudomonadati; Bacteroidota; Sphingobacteriia; Sphingobacteriales. The record is from RNAcentral.
GACGGGGCCCGCACAAGCGGUGGAGCAUGUGGUUUAAUUCGAUGAUACGCGAGGAACCUUACCUGGGCUCGAACGUAAGAUGACUGUAGGUGAAAGCUUACAUCUCUUCGGAGCAUUUUGCGAGGUGCUGCAUGGUUGUCGUCAGCUCGUGCCGUGAGGUGUCGGGUUAAGUCCCAUAACGAGCGCAACCCUACCUUUAGUUGCCAUCAGGUAAUGCUGGGGACUCUAAAGGAACUGCCUACGCAAGUAGUGAGGAAGGCGGGGAUGACGUCAAAUCAGCACGGCCCUUACGUCCAGGGCUACACACGUGCUACAAUGGCCGAUACAGAGGGCAGCUACCUGGUGACAGGAUGCAAAUCUCCAAAGUCGGUCUCAGUUCGGAUUGAGGGCUGCAACUCGCCCUCAUGAAGCUGGAAUCCGUAGUAAUCGCGUUUCAACAGAACGCGGUGAAUACGUCCCUGCUCCUU